GAAGUGCCCAGCAUAAUGACAGGAUUUUAAGAGACUUAACUUGAAGAGAACUCAAAGACUUUCUGAAGAACAGAAGAUGCUUCCUCUCUCCAGCUUUCUCAGAGUCUGCCCUGUUCUUCACAUCAAGGAUGCUUGCUGACAAGGUCUGUGAUGAUGGCCCUUCUCUGCUGAGGAAUUUUACUAACAAUUCCUACUCUCACCUCUGUAUAUACCCACGUAAUCUCAGAUCUUCUGCAAAAUGAAGAAUAUCUCCUGCCAUUAAAACACUGGGUAUGCUGAUGCAUUCAAUGAGAGAAUAUAAGGCUUCAUGAUGGCAUGGAAGUUAUUAUGGAUUUUCCAAAGUUACACUAGUAGGGAUGUUCAUCCUGGAGAAGAAUUACGGGGAGAAAGUGAUCACCUGUCUUUCUGUAUCUUUUAUUUCCAAGAUUCUGAGAUUCUUCAAAAAGAUGUAAGUCUGUAACACUAUUUGAAAGACUUUUGAUAGAAAGAGAUAAGACAUGCUCUGUUUUCCCUCAAAGGCAGACCCAGGAGCAAGGUUACAAGGAGUUAGAUUUCAGUUCAUUCAAAGGGAACACUUCCUAAUCAUUAGAGUUGUCCAAAAGAAGAAUGGACCAUCUUAAUGGGUAAUAAAUUCCCCAGUCACUGAAGAAAUACAAGCAGAAAUUGGAUAAGAUUGUAAGCCCCUCGAGGGCAGGAACUGUCUUUUGUACCCCGGCCACUUAGCAUAGUGC
This 731-nucleotide long non-coding RNA is filed under the name Sarcophilus harrisii (Tasmanian devil). RNAcentral's name for it is "lncRNA (ENSSHAG00000030742.1)". Lineage: Eukaryota; Metazoa; Chordata; Mammalia; Dasyuromorphia; Dasyuridae. The record is from RNAcentral.